RNAcentral lists this ribosomal RNA (389 nucleotides) under Escherichia coli. Its description in RNAcentral is "partial 23S ribosomal RNA". It matches the Rfam family "Bacterial large subunit ribosomal RNA", at positions 1353 to 1744 of the family's 2925-position model. Lineage: Bacteria; Pseudomonadati; Pseudomonadota; Gammaproteobacteria; Enterobacterales; Enterobacteriaceae. The record is from RNAcentral.
UCCUGUCCAACGUUAAUCGGGGCAGGGUGAGUCGACCCCUAAGGCGAGGCCGAAAGGCGUAGUCGAUGGGAAACAGGUUAAUAUUCCUGUACUUGGUGUUACUGCGAAGGGGGGACGGAGAAGGCUAUGUUGGCCGGGCGACGGUUGUCCCGGUUUAAGCGUGUAGGCUGGUUUUCCAGGCAAAUCCGGAAAAUCAAGGCUGAGGCGUGAUGACGAGGCACUACGGUGCUGAAGCAACAAAUGCCCUGCUUCCAGGAAAAGCCUCUAAGCAUCAGGUAACAUCAAAUCGUACCCCAAACCGACACAGGUGGUCAGGUAGAGAAUACCAAGGCGCUUGAGAGAACUCGGGUGAAGGAACUAGGCAAAAUGGUGCCGUAACUUCGGGAGAA